RNAcentral lists this ribosomal RNA (254 nucleotides) under uncultured bacterium. RNAcentral describes it as "partial 16S ribosomal RNA". It matches the Rfam family "Bacterial small subunit ribosomal RNA", at positions 524 to 776 of the family's 1533-position model. The record is from RNAcentral.
CACGUAGGAGGCGAGCGUUGUCCGGAAUCAUUGGGCGUAAAGAGCUCGUAGGCGGUGUGUCGCGUCGGCCGUGAAAACCUGCAGCUUAACUGUGGGCGUGCGGUCGGUACGGGCAUCACUGGAGUUCGGCAGGGGAGACUGGAAUUCCUGGUGUAGCGGUGAAAUGCGCAGAUAUCAGGAGGAACACCGGUGGCGAAGGCGUGUCUCUGGGCCGAUACUGACGCUGAGGAGCGAAAGCGUGGGGAGCGAACAGG